GCAGCCGCACUCCCAGAUCUGAUGAAAGCGCUCCCUCCCUCCCUGCUGCCGGGGGGACAGGCGCACUCACACAGCAGCCUCCCAGCUCGGAGCAGCCUCAGCCCCAGAGACGCAGCGUUACCCCGGCGGGACCGGCCUUGCCCUUUUGUUCGAGUCGGCGCGGAGGGAGCGGGUUCCGUUGGGUCGGGGGAGGCGGAGCUGUGGGGCCAUCGGGGGGAGCCAUGGAGGAUUCCCGGGCACACUAGCCUCUCUCCCCGGGCUGGGAACAAGCCGGGCGGCCGUGCCUUUUCUCCCGCUGCCGCCAUUUUCCCGUUCGGUUUAGCGGCGCCUGAGUAAUGGCCGUGCCGCAGCCCCGCCGCUGGGAGCCCCUAGCAGCCGCCGAGCGCUGGAUGUGAAGCUGCGGGAAUAUGGUUUCAGACACUUACUCUCUCCCCCGCUGGAGUGUGGAAUACUAGAAGGUCACAUUAUUUAUAUACUGUUACACUCGGAGACGGUCUCGCAGCCCGCACCAUAGACACACAUUGUAGAGCAGUCAGUGGGCGGUCAGUCUGUCAUGGAGCAAAGAGAAAACUUGGGCACCAACCGGACAAGGGGUUGCGACAGCGAAUCGAACGCGUCGGCCCUGGCAGGGAAAGCGCCCCCAGCGGCCGGCUGUUCCGGAGAUACCAUGGUCCCUGCCGGCGGGGCGGCCAAGGCCGGGCUCGGGAACGGGGAAUCUAUGGAGCCGGAGGAAGAGGACGAACUGGGUUCCGGGAGGGAUGUGGAUUCCAACUCCAACGCCGACAGCGAGAAGUGGGUGACGGGAGAUGGUUUGGAGGAGCAGGAGUUUUCCAUCAAGGAGGCCAAUUUUACGGAAGGGAGCCUGAAAUUAAAGAUACAGACCACCAAGAGGGCCAAGAAACCGCCCAAGAACCUGGAGAACUAUAUCUGCCCCCCCGAGAUUAAAAUCACCAUAAAGCAAUCGGGGGAGCAAAAACUCUCUAAGUCUGGGAGGAACGGCAAAGCGGCCAAGGAGGACGAGCGCGCCCACGCGAGAAAGAAGGCCAAUGUCGUGUGGGAAAAAUUCCCUCUGCAAUCAAAUCACCAGAGAAAAUUGCCCGGGGCCGUGCCAGCGGGAAAAGUCUCCCAAGUGCAUGAGAAAUCGCAGAAGCAUUCUACUGUUCAUUUCGACUCCAGCACCCCUUCGGAUAUCACCAACGACUCCUUAAAACCAAAGCACCAGCAGAAAAGUAACCAGCACCAUCUCGACUGGUUGGCAAAGUCAGACUCUGGGCCUACAACGCAGAGUAGUGUUGCUGAUGUUGAGUCUUGCAAGGAAGCAUCCAGUGUCGCCAAGGCUACAAGUGCAGAAGCCGCCACACCAUUUAAAACUCAGUCCAAGAAAUCGAACGUGGGUAGCACUUGGAAUCAAUUAUCCAAUGCAAAAGAAACUGCGAAUGGUAGUACAAUGCCGGCAGCUGCUAAUAUCGGCACUGGGUCUUCAUCCAGCAAUUCUGCUGAUAGUAACGGGGUCCUGCCCUCGGAGGACCAAAAAAGUGGCCUUGCCGAGGCUCCUGAGCAAUCUGGGAAUGCAAAGAAGAAAGUUGGGAAGAAAGACUCAACUCAAACCAUGCAGGUUAAGGAGAGCGAGUGGGGCAAAAAUAACUCAAAAGCCGUUGAUCCCAAAAGUCACGACACAACAGAAAGCAAAAAGGAUCCCAACCCUACAGAUAAUAAAUUACCAGCACCACCGCAGCGACAGGAUGUAUCUUCUGGAAAUAGUUGUGAAAGUGACUCAAGCCACGUCAGAAUAACUAUUCCAAUAAAAACCACCACCACCGCCACCGAUGCAUCUGCCAACAAAAGGAAAAAGAAACCGUAUAUUAAACCUACCAUGGAUAAAAAGGUGCAGGAGGAUCAGUCUUUAGGGAGAAUGCUCGUCAACGAAGUCAGCAACCAAAUGCUUGGUCAGUUCCUGGCAAACAAGAAGGACAGCAAGGUUCUGAAACAGGGUAAAAUUUUUGGUACUGAACUUCUGUCGAAAUUACCCGAGAGUAACGGAGGAGGAGGGAAAUCUUUAUUGAGCAGCAUGGCUUGUCUCCAGAAGAUGACCACUCCACUGCCACCUUCAAAAGCUAUUGCCGAGAUGGUAAAAUCAAAGACACCGGAAUUGCAGCAUCCAAAACUGGCGUCGAAGAAACGAUGGGCAAACGUCAAGCCAAAAACCAAUAACAAUGACAACUCUGCCUCGCCGAUGGAAAAGAUUGUGGUCGAACCUCCCUCCGCCUACCCGAUAACGCCAUCCAGUCCACUCUACACCAAUACAGAUAGCCUUACCGUAAUUACACCAACAAAGAAAAAGAGGGGACGGCCAAAGAAACAACCCUUGCUCACUGUAGAAACUAUCCACGAGGGCACCUCGACCAGCCCAGUAAGCCCACUCAACAGAGAGUUUCCCGGUAUCAAGAAGCGAAAAGGGAGGCACAAUCUCUCGGAAUUGGUCCAAAUCAAUCCAUCCAUGGAAAAAUCCAUCAGCGAAUUAGAAUUUAACAAAAAAGUGGGUAAACUGGGAAUGCUAGAUAAGAAAACCAUAAAAACCAUCAAUAAGAUGAAAACUCUCAAAAGGAAGAAUAUCUUAAACCAAAUUCUGUCUUGCUCGAACAGCAUGGCGUUGAAAUCGAAAGCCCAGCCCCAGACAAACGCAAUAGCAACUGUAGCCACAACUUUAGAUGCUAGGUUAGGCAAGCAGAUCAACGUUAGCAAGAGGGGAACCAUCUACAUCGGCAAGAAAAGGGGACGAAAACCCAGAACCGAGCAGAUACCCCUACAGAAUGAACGUCGAACAGCCAUUAAACAUUUAAGGCCUGUUUCCAGCCAGCCUGAAAACCCAGCGGUGCCUUCAAACUUGCAGUCACUUGCCGCGUCUUCACCAGCAGCUAUUCACUCGAUCACGACACAGCUCAUAGGUUCAAACGGUAAUCUCAGUCCUGCCAACACCGACACAAUAUUUUCCGAUUUAAAAACUAUGCCAAAUCUUCAGCCAAUCAGUGCUCUUCCAACAAAAAUCCAGAAAGGAAUACAUGGCAGUUCAUGGAAGUUGUCUCCACCAAGAUUAAUGGCUCUGUCUCCGUCUCAUUUGUGUGAGAUAAGCUCCCUAAAAGAGGUCACGCUGUCGCCAAUAAGCGAGUCACAUAGCGAAGAGACCAUACCGAGUGACAGCGGAAUUGGUACAGAUAAUAAUAGCACUUCGGAUCAAGCGGAGAAAAGCUCGGAAUCCCGCAGAAGGUACUCUUUUGACUUCUGCUCUCUGGACAAUCCUGAAGUUACGCCGUCGGACACCAGCACAAAGGGCAAACAUGGCCACCGACCGAAACAUCUCAUCGUCGACAACUUUCUAGUCCACGAAAGUAGUAAAAAGCCAAAGCACAAGAGGAAGAGGAAAAGCCUGCAGAACAGGGACAACCUGCAGUUUCUCGCAGACCUCGAGGACCUCAUCAAUAAAUUUCAAGUCUUCAGAAUUUCCCACAGGAGCUAUACGUUCUACCACGAAAAUCCUUAUCCGAGCAUAUUCAGGAUUAAUUUUGAUCAUUAUUACCCAGUGCCAUAUAUACAGUACGACCCACUGCUUUACCUUCGCAGGACCUCUGACAUGAAAUCGAAGAAAAAGCGUGGUAGACCUGCCAAAACCAAUGACACCAUGACGAAGGUGCCUUUUUUGCAAGGGUUUGGAUACCCUAUUCCCAGCGGAAGUUACUAUGCACCAUAUGGAAUGCCUUACACAUCAAUGCCUAUGAUGAACCUUGGUUAUUAUGGUCAGUAUCCAGCUCCGUUGUAUCUGUCCCACACGCUUGGGGCAACUUCUCCGUUCAUGAGGCCCUCGGUACCACCACCUCAGUUCCACACAAGCUCUCAUAUGAAGAUGCCUACUGCUACCAAGCAUAAAACAAAACACGGCAUACAUCUUCAGUCCUCGGUAGGAAUGGGGCUAGGAGACAUGCAGUCGUCUUUGGCUACUUCCAAAACGUCCGGCGUCGGCCUUUCAAGUAGCCGACUCCACAAAAGGAAACACAAACAUAAGCACAAACAUAAGGAUGAUCGUAUUCUAGGGACACACAGCGAGUUCGGCAGCCUUUUUUCGGGCAAGUCCGCCAGCUUCUCAAGUCACGUAGCAAACGAAAAGCUCAACCCGUCUGGCAAAGACCUCUCCUCGCUCAACGAGAAAAGCAAGCAUAAGGAUAAGCAGAAGCACCAGCAUUGCGAAACUGGACAAAGGGGCUCAAAGAGUAGUUUUGAGGUCGAUACCCUUUCGUCGUUGUCGCUUUCUGACGCUCAGCAUUGGCCGUCGUCUAAAGAGAAAACGGACCUGAACGGGGAAUCUGUCGAGAGCUGUUUAAAAAAAUAUGCUGGAAGUAAUGACUGCAACGCCAGGGCAGACUCCUCCGACCUGUUUGUGGAAAUGAGUUCAGCAAAUGAGAAAAGGGACGGCGAUAUAAGCGGUAAAAGGAGGAGCUUCGAAGGUUUUGGCUCUUAUAGAGAGAGAGACAUUCAGUCGUUCAGGAUCAACAGGAAGGACAGAAACGCUUUCGAUGCUGCAGUACCAGGUCUAGCAAAUACUCACCUUAAAGUGGAUCAGAUGUCUCAGCAUAGUAAAAGCGAUAUCAAUUCUUCCAACAAUAUGACCAAAAGGAAGCCAGCAGCUGAAUCUGUGGCCAUGUUGCCGAGUCCAGUGUUGUCGUUUUUUUCUUCAUCCUCAGAAUCAGCCAGUGCUUCGCUCCGAAAAAGAUUCAAGCGUUGCGAGAUCGAGGCGAUCCAGAGCGAGGUGCGGAAGAUGUGCAACUACAAUAAAAUCCUGUCCACCAAAAAAAACAUGGAUCACGUCAACAAAAUUCUUAAGGCCAAGAGAUUACAAAGACAAUCAAAGACUGGCAAUAACUUUGUGAAGAAGAAGAGGGGGCGCCCCAGGAAGCAUCCCCUCUUGUUCGACGAGGACUCUAGAGACCAAAUGCCAGUUCUGGAGAAAUGCGUUGACCUUCCAAGCAAACGAGGCCAAAAGCCUUCUUUGCACCCUCUGGACUUGGAAGCCAGCCGCCAAGACUUGGUCAUGGAUACUAUUGAAGCGGUAAUACACAUGGCCAGGGAAGGCCAAUCGUCACGCAUACCGAGAAAUGGAAAGAGGAAAACCAGCGAGGAGGAGGAGAUCAAAGCAAAAAGACACAGAAAGGGCAGAAGAGGAGAGUCUGACUCCACCUGUUAGGAUCACUAUAAACUGAGAUUUAGUAGACGUAGCAGGUCGGAACCAAUGAGGCUAAAGGGUACCGAUACUCAUACCAGUGGGGUAUUUAGACUUGGCUUGACUGUCAGCUUUGUAAUACAGUUGAUAUAUGAAUCUCUCUCGGCACUAGGCUUUCAGAUUAGUAAGCUCACCGUAUAUCACAUGUAACUGCAGUUUUAUCAAUAGUCACAAUGGAUAUUCAGCAAUGUAUUUUCUUGCUUCAAGCUAGGACGUACCAUUUUAAUUUUGCAUUAAAAGACCACCCAGCAGAGGUUAGCUGUGUACUCCCCGGGGGGAAGGGAAAGGCUACUCUGGACCCUACACUUUCUGGGGCCCUAGAAGGUAUGCAAGGGGUUGUAACGAUUGUUUAUUGUACCCCCACAGAUUCAUAUGCUAAAUAAUGGUGGCUCCAACAUUGAUCAUUUUGCCCUGGGCUCCACCACCACUAAGGACAACCCUAAAAUUAGCAGAAUGAAUGCUCAGCAGAGUGUUUGGUUUAGUCUCUAACCAUUGAGAUCAUGAAUAGCUGAUACAGUGAUGAGAACCAAGGAACAUAACCAGUAGAACCAGGACAACCCUAAAAUUAGCAGAAUGAAUGCUCAGCAGAGUGUUCGGUUUAGUCUCUAACCCCUGAGAUCAUGACUAGCUGAUACAGUGAUGAGAACCAAGGAACAUAACCAAUAGAACAUGGACAACCUUAAAAUUAGUAGAAUUAAUGCUCAGCAGAGUGUUUGGUUUAGUCUCGAACUCUUGAGAUCAUGACUAGCUGAUACAGUGAUGAGAACCAAGGAACAUAACCAGUAGAACAAGGCCAAACCUAAAAUUAGCAGAAUGAUUGCUCAGCAGAGUGUUUGGUUUAGUCUCGAACUCUUGAGAUCAUAACUAGCUGAUACAGUGAUGAGAACCAAGGAACAUAACCAGUAGAACAAGGCCAACCCUAAAAUUAGCAGAAUGAAUGCUCAGCUGAGUGUUUGGUUUAGUCUCGAACUCUUGAGAUCAUGACUAGCUGAUACAGUGAUGAGAACCAAGGAACAUAACCAGUAGAACAAGGCCAAACCUAAAAUUAGCAGAAUGAUUGCUCAGCAGAGUGUUUGGUUUAGUCUCGAACUCUUGAGAUCAUAACUAGCUGAUACAGUGAUGAGAACCAAGGAACAUAACCAGUAGAACAAGGCCAACCCUAAAAUUAGCAGAAUGAUUGCUCAGCAGAGUGUUUGGUUUAGUCUCGAACUCUUGAGAUCAUGACUAGCUGAUACAGUGAUGAGAACCAAGGAACAUAACCAGUAGAACAAGGCCAACCCUAAAAUUAGCAGAAUGAUUGCUCAGCAGAGUGUUUGGUUUAGUCUCGAACUCUUGAGAUCAUAACUAGCUGAUACAGUGAUGAGAACCAAGGAACAUAACCAGUAGAACAAGGCCAACCCUAAAAUUAGCAGAAUGAAUGCUCAGCAGAGUGUUUGGUUUAGUCUCGAACUCUUGAGAUCAUGACUAGCUGAUACAGUGAUGAGAACCAAGGAACAUGACCAGUAGAAGGAAUGAUGUACCCGUCUUGGUUGCCUAAAGGUUUUGGCUUUCAGCUUAUUGGCUGCUUAAGUUGAGAUACAAGCAGAGUUGGUUAAUGGUUGGGUAUCCAAGCACAUAUGCUUAUAAGGCUUUUACUAUGAUUAUCAUUAGUACUUGCCCCCCCCCCCCCCCCCAUUCAGCUCUUUAUAUCAUCAUUUGGAAGAUGGAAAUAAUGUACACAAUACACCAAUGACAUGAUACACAAUACACCAUUGGCUUGUAUGGUGGCGCCAUUUUCUUUUACUGUGUACCACAUGAUUCCCUUGAUAAAUAUAUAUAAUAAUAUAUAUAUCCCCCCCUUAAUGACUACCAUUAAACACAAAGCAAAUGCUGUUCUUUUGGGGGAGAAAAAGAAAACCGUAAAAUUGAAUGAAGCCAAGUUGGGGUGGGUUUGGGGAAUUGUAACUGUAGUUGCCUUAAUCUAGUACUUUUUGUACAUAAUGUACAGCUAUCAGUCUGUGAAUGCAAACUGGGUCAGUGGGGAAACAAAUUCAACAAUUUUGUAAAAAAAAAAAAAAAAA
Non-coding RNA from Xenopus tropicalis (tropical clawed frog), 7329 nucleotides. The record is from RefSeq and is a predicted model, not a curated record. NCBI's taxonomy places the organism in Eukaryota, Metazoa, Chordata, Amphibia, Anura, Pipidae.